RNAcentral lists this ribosomal RNA (468 nucleotides) under uncultured bacterium. Its description in RNAcentral is "partial 16S ribosomal RNA". It matches the Rfam family "Bacterial small subunit ribosomal RNA", at positions 28 to 507 of the family's 1533-position model. The record is from RNAcentral.
GACGAACGCUGGCGGCGUGCCUAACACAUGCAAGUCGAACGGAAAGGCCCUGCUUUUGUGGGGUGCCCGAGUGGGGAAAGGGUGAGUAACACGAGAGUAACCUGCCCUUGACUUUGGGAUAACUUCAGGAAACUGGGGCUAAUACCGGAUAGGAGCUCCUGCCGCAUGGUGGGGGUUGGAAAGUUUCGGCGGUUGGGGAUGGACUCGCGGCUUAUCAGCUUGUUGGUGGGGUAGUGGAUUACCAAGGCUUUGGCGGGUAGCCGGCCUGAGAGGGUGACCGGCCACAUUGGGACUGAGAUACGGCCCAGACUCCUACGGGAGGCAGCAGUGGGGAAUAUUGCACAAUGGGCGGAAGCCUGAUGCAGCAACGCCGCGUGCGGGAUGACGGCCUUCGGGUUGUAAACCGCUUUCGCCUGUGACGAAGCGUGAGUGACGGUAAUGGGUAAAGAAGCACCGGCUAACUACGUG